GCAUCAUCCAUCCUACCAUUC
Molecule: microRNA, 21 nt
Filed under: Triticum aestivum (bread wheat)
Lineage: Eukaryota; Viridiplantae; Streptophyta; Magnoliopsida; Poales; Poaceae
Description: tae-miR9674a-5p
Source: miRBase by way of RNAcentral